RNAcentral lists this small RNA (125 nucleotides) under Marmota monax (woodchuck). The record is from RNAcentral. Lineage: Eukaryota; Metazoa; Chordata; Mammalia; Rodentia; Sciuridae.
GCCAGGUGAGGUGGCACAUGCCUGUAAUCCCAGCAACUCAGGAGGCUGAGGCAGGAGGAUCAUGAGUUCAAAGCCAAUCUCAGCAACUUAGUGAGGCCCCAAACAACUCAGAGACCCUGUCUCUA